AACAGCGACCUUCGGAAUAGGUAUAGCAAUAUGCUCUUUGGUCAGUCUCGUCAUUUCGCCAUUUUGGGAUGAAAUGGUAGCUUCUUGUUAUGUGAAAACGAUCCAAAAUAGAUGGCUUUAUAACAUGGUAUUACAUGCGGAGUAUAUUUCACGUAAGUUACCAUCUUCUCAUAUGAUUGUUUUUUCUUGAGUUGGGCGUCAUCAGUUUAUCAGUAAUUUUGCUAUUUUGCUUUUACCACUUUAUUUACAACCAUUUAUGUCGGAGCUUCGGUGGCGCAAUUGUCAGAGCAACCACCUCUGAGAUCCUGG
Non-coding RNA from Paramuricea clavata, 309 nucleotides. NCBI's taxonomy places the organism in Eukaryota, Metazoa, Cnidaria, Anthozoa, Malacalcyonacea, Plexauridae. The record is from the annotation of a GenBank genome assembly.